RNAcentral lists this long non-coding RNA (1668 nucleotides) under Mus musculus (house mouse). Its description in RNAcentral is "predicted gene 11734, transcript variant 5 (Gm11734)". Lineage: Eukaryota; Metazoa; Chordata; Mammalia; Rodentia; Muridae. The record is from RNAcentral.
AGUUUUAAGACUGGAAGAUCCUGAGGAAAGUCACUGCUCCCUGCCCUGGGUUCCCAUCCAGGCCACUUUAGAGGCAAGGCUGUACUGCUGAGAAGAGAUUCUAAAUCCAGCUGGAAAAUGUCCCUCAGCAGGACCCACAGAGGAUAACAUUGAAAAAGGCAGUUUGACCUCCAGGUGGAGAGGGACAAGGCCUACUGUGUGAAGAAGAUGGUGGCCUCAUUCCCCUGCAGCUACCAGCUCCACAAGACAGGUGGCCGUCGCAGGCCUCUACCCCAACCUGGCCCAUCGGAGAUCCUGGCUCUGUAGGCAGAGCAGAGGACCAAGCCUUGCUCUCUGGCCACUCCAGCUCCUUAGGGGAAGUAGGUGUGUGUCUCCUCGAGAGGGUCUAAGCCAUAUCUCACUUCUCCACUGUCUUUCUCCAGGACAGUGUCCCCAAGAUGUACGUCUCAGCCAGGACCCCCAGAGCAGCCAGAAAAAGAGAUUGAGAGAAGCACACAGCCCCUCCCCAAGAUCCAGGAUCCUGAGAGCUUCAACAGCCAGCUGGGCUCCCUCAUCCGGUGCCAUUCUGGUCAGCAUUGCCUUGUUGCCAAAUACACCUCAGGCACCAUGGAGGUGUCAGGACCGAGAGGGGCGGCGUGAUCCAGGGUGGGGCCACUGCGGGGCAGGUGUCAAUGGGGCUGCUAGUUUAGAGCACCCCCAUAUCACAGAAGGCUGCAGCUGUGGUUCUGUGGAGGAAAAGCAGGGCCCGAGAGUCCAGUCUCUCCUGGCAGUCAGUGCCCUUCCUGGGAUUCAAGAGAGAAACUUCCUUUUCCACAGUCUAAUGUGUAAGAUGUCAGCCACCACACCUGGCCUGCCACACUUCCUUGAUGCUAUUGACAUUUAUAAUAGCAAGCAGGUUUUCUCCCUUUGGGUCCGGAGAUCAGAGUUCUUUGUUGGGAUUGAAAGCAUGAACGUGUCAUUUGAUGGGGCUUUGGACAGUGGUCAUGACGUGAAGAAUUAGGAAGCCAUAGGCUGGGAGGCAAGCCCAGGGACAUGACCUGCAGAGGAAGGCCCAUGCACCUGCCACCAGGCAUCGAAGACCUCAAGGCCAUUCUCCGGUGAACCCAGGGGUGACAGACUGAACAGUGAAUUGCCAAGACCGAGGGCUGAUCUGCUCUACAGAUGUCUCCUGCAGACUCCAAAGCAUUCUAUAACCUAUUCUAACCACGGCUCUGUGCGGGCUGUGGUGCUUCUGUGCCCUCUGCCCCUGGCACAGCAUGAGGCCGGCAGCUGAUUCAGCGCAUUGUCUGGAGACCCAGCAUGGUGCCAUCUCUGCUGACUUUCAUCUCUAUUGGCUAAGAAUCCUUGCCAACAGGGCCUCUGAAAUGAGGGAGGCACACACGGAUCUGCCCGGGAACGUGUGCUACAAGGUUAAGCGUGUUUGCCCAGGCGAGGUCCGGAGUUCAAAUCCCAGCAACCACAUGGUGGCUCACAACCAUCUGUAAUGAGAUCUGACUCCCUCUUCUGGAGUGUCUGAAGACAGCUACAGUGUUCUUACAUGUAAUAAUAAAUAAAUCUUUAAAAAAAAAAAAAAGAAAAUUACCUUACUGGCAACCCUCGUACUAGCUACCUGACACCCAUAGGCACAAAUGAAUAAAAUAAAAUAUGCUUCAGAUAUAUUGAGUAAAA